Lotus japonicus is the source of this 2830-nucleotide long non-coding RNA. RefSeq lists it as uncharacterized. The transcript is spliced from 5 exons. Lineage: Eukaryota; Viridiplantae; Streptophyta; Magnoliopsida; Fabales; Fabaceae. The record is from RefSeq and is a predicted model, not a curated record.
CUACCUGAAAAAACCGUAGCAGCCAUGGAAAACCAGCAGCCAUACACUCUCCAAUUUUCCAAUUCCAGAUUCCUCAAUCCCUUCUUCUCUAGGGUUUACUUUUUUCUUCUUCCUGCAACCUUCCUCGAUGGUUUCCUCGAUUCCAUCCUCUCUUCCAUAGCCGUCGAACUCACCACCUCCAUUUCUUCUCCAAACUACCGUCGAACUCACCACUCCUCUCCUCUGUUCAAAAUCGCGGGCUUCCCUUUCCAUCAUCUCCAUUCCUUGACACCUCUUGUUUCCUAGCCUGACACCGUUCAUCAUCUCCAUCCCAUCGUCCAUCUCCAACUCCAUAACUACUUUACCUUCCUCAACCAAUUCCAGAAUGGGACGCCUUUGAUGCAUACAGUCUUCACCUCUGGAAAAUUGGAAAAAGGCCUUGUGCCGUUGAAGUGCCAUUCUUCUGAACCUGGAUCCUCUCCUUUCUCAUAUAUUCGGCCGCAGAAGAGGUUGCUCUACAAAGGCCAAGUAUCAUGACACUGAAGGAGCUGAAAUGAAACCAAGAAGAAGGAGAAGUGAUGUUGCACAAUCCGGAAGGGUUGAGAUUGAGAACCUUGGUCAUAUUGAGAUUCUUAUUUGUGCUCAAAUUUGUUAUAUACUACUUGUUACAAUUCUUUUCUCCUUGAUGAAUUGGAAAACCCCCUUUUAGUUAACAUGGUUAUUUUACUAAUUUGAUUGGUUAGUCCUUCUUUUCCCCUUCCUGUUUUCUGUUUUCAUUUUUUCUUUCUCUUAUGGGUCAACCAGUUACAAAAGGACCCUCUGUUAGUCAUUAUACCAAGCUGUUAUUUUCCUUAUAGGUUUAUAGGCUUAUAGUGCUAUAGCGUGGCAAAUGCAUAGUUGGUGCUAACUUCUGUUUUAAUAUUUUUUGCCGUCACUCCAAUCUCAUUUCUGUCGAUGAAUCUAUUAUAAUGUCAAAUUGGUCGUGUUUUAUACUUAACAGCUUGUCUGAUAUUUCAGUUGAUAUAUGCUCAUUUCAAAUGCAUCAUCUUUGUAUAGCUAGUUUAGAUCUGGUUCACUUGCCAAUAUACUUCUGAUUCUAAUGAGGUGGUCAUCAUGGCAGGUUUCUUGUAGCUUUCUCUGGGAAGUAUCUGAAGUAUGAUUACUGUGUUCCUUCUCCACAUAACUGGUCUGAAGACAAUAUUUCGUGUGUUUAUGACCUCAAACAGAAGAAUGUCUCUUUAGGCCUGCAUUUAUUGAGGUAGUCAUUGACCUCUUGCUCUGUUUCCUUAACUGCUCCUUGACAUAGAUGCUUUAUUUGCUAAUGCUAUGUUUCUUAACUUGUACAUUAGGAACACUUUAUGUUGGCCAUAGCCCAUAACUACUGUUGGGCCUGUUGAAUGUGUAUGUUUGCUUUUAGAUUUGUUAACUUCUGAGACACUUAUCACAAUUGAAUUUUGCCUGCAUGGAGUGAGAUUCUAGAAUAUCGUCUAAACAAAUUAGGAAACAUAAGAAACUUUAAUCUUCACAGUUCAGUACUUUGAGCAUAAGCCCUUUGUAUAAUUUGGGUGCCAUUUUUGGUCGGUAAUUCCUUUUUGUAUUUUUUACUGGUAUAAUUUUCUUAUAAAUGAGUUUUAGGCAUCAUAAGAUCACCAUAGUGAAGCUUGCCACACUGUAGCAAUAGCAUAUCCAUAGAAAGUCACUUCCCUUUAUUGAAUUCUGCACUUUAUCUUUUUUCUUUAUACUUAACUGCUUCUAAUAUGAAGUACAUGUAAUUUAAGUUAGGAUGCUCUCUGCCUAACAGUUGCUGAAUUUAUAGUUUUGUAACAUUUAUUAUUAAUGUAUUGCUGAAUUUAUAUAUUCUAGUCUCCAACCAAACAUAUUUUAUCUCUGGACAGUGACAUUUUAUGUAAAUUUGGUGGAUGUUUUAGCUGUGAUCCUUCAAUUUACAUGGGUUGCAGCUUAUUGGUUUAGCACUUCCCCUGGCUGUUAAAACUCCAAGUAUAUUUUGAUGAGGUUUUUAAAAGAGAAUGAAUAUGACCUAACAAUAGCACUUCCGAUGAGGCCACCCUAGUGGAAGGUGUAUCCUUUUGGUCUUUUCAAUUUCAUGUCAAUCUUGAUAUCCAUUUUUUCUCCUUCAUUGUUCAAUAAAUUCAGGCUCCAUUUCGAUUUGAUCAGUGGAAUAUUAUUUACUUCUACAGGAUUGAUUUUAUGAUGUGUGUGAGAGUAAUGGCAGGUGAUUAUAUCCUUUCUUAACUUGGCCUCGCCGCGAUGGUCCGUGAUCGCAAUUUGAUAACACCGGCUACUGCUAUAAGUGGAUACACUAGCAACUCUGCUUCUGCCAAGAAGUGCAGAAAGAAGUGCAACUAUGUUUGGAGUUUCAACAGAAUCAAUGCAGUUAUCAUAUGACACAAGAGGGAGCAGUGUGCCGACAAUUUUGUUACAAAUGCAAAGGCACUUGUAUGCCCAAGGAGGGUUGCAGGCAGAGGGGAUUUUCAGAAUUAAUACAGACAAUACUCACACUGAAGCUUCCCUUCUUGACUGGGCUAUUAAUCUGAUGGUUGAUGUUGUCCAAGAGGAACAUCUGAGUAAGAUGAAUGCACACAAUAUUGCCAUGGUUCCAGUAAACUCAGUUUCUCCAGGAAUAGAAGGGAGGAAAAUGCAUACAUAUACUGUAUUAGUCCUUUUCAUUUUUGUUAUAAGAUUGCAGAUCAUAGUUAAAAUAUUGCUAAUGUAAUUUUUUAUCUUAUGCUCAAAGACGGAAGUGAAAUUUUUUAAUUUUGUUGGUUUUGAGUUUGUAUGGUUAUGCCUAUAGGUGUGACUUUUUAAUUGAUUCCAAACAUUGGUUUUUUUU